AGAUGCGUUCAUAUCUCCGGCAAAGCACUGCAUCCCGUCCGAUCUGCAAAGUUAAGCCCGGAAGA
RNAcentral lists this ribosomal RNA (65 nucleotides) under Neolecta irregularis DAH-3. The record is from RNAcentral. Lineage: Eukaryota; Fungi; Ascomycota; Neolectomycetes; Neolectales; Neolectaceae.